GACGAACGCUGGCGGCGUGCCUAAUACAUGCAAGUCGAGCGGACUUUCCGGAGUGCUUGCGCUCCGUCGGGUUAGCGGCGGACGGGUGAGUAACACGUAGGCAACCUUCCCAUAAGACCGGGAUUACAUUCGGAAACGAAAGCUCAUACCGGGUAGACGGACUUCUCGGAUGGGGGGAGCGGGAAAGGCCGGGCAAUCUGCCGCUUACGGAUGGUCCUGCGGCGCAUUAGCUAGUUGGUGGGGUAAGGGCCUACCAAGGCGAGGAUGCGUAGCCCACCUGAGAGGGUGAUAGGCCACACUGGGACUGGAACACGCCCCAGGCGACUGCGGGAGGCAGCAGUAGGGAAUGUUACGCAAUGGACGGAAGUCUGACGGAGCAGGGCCGCGUGAGUGAGGAAGGCCUUCGGGUCGGAAAGCUCUGUUGCGAGGGAAGAACGGGCAGGGGAGUAACUGACCUUGCCAUGACGGUACCUGAUAAGAAAGCCCCGGCUAACUACGUG
Molecule: ribosomal RNA, 500 nt
Filed under: uncultured bacterium
Lineage: Bacteria
Description: partial 16S ribosomal RNA
Rfam family: Bacterial small subunit ribosomal RNA
Source: RNAcentral